AGAGUUUGAUCCUGGCUCAGAAUGAACGCUGGCGGCAGGCCUAACACAUGCAAGUCGAACGGAUCCUUCGGGAUUAGUGGCGGACGGGUGAGUAACGCGUGGGAACGUACCCCUUUCUUCGGAAUAGCCUCGGGAAACUGGGAGUAAUACCGGAUAAGCCCUAUUGGGGAAAGAUUUAUCGCCAGAGGAUCGGCCCGCGUUAGAUUAGCUUGUUGGUGAGGUAAUGGCUCACCAAGGCUACGAUCUAUAGCUGGUCUGAGAGGAUGAUCAGCCACACUGGGACUGAGACACGGCCCAGACUCUUACGGGAGGCAGCAGUGGGGAAUCUUGGACAAUGGGCGAAAGCCUGAUCCAGCCAUGCCGCGUGAAUGAUGAAGGCCCUAGGGUUGUAAAAUUCUUUCGACGGGGAAGAUAAUGACGGUACCCGUAGAAGAAGCUCCGGCUAACUUCGUG
This 453-nucleotide ribosomal RNA is filed under the name uncultured bacterium. Its description in RNAcentral is "bacterial SSU rRNA". It matches the Rfam family "Bacterial small subunit ribosomal RNA", at positions 8 to 507 of the family's 1533-position model. The record is from RNAcentral.